Long non-coding RNA from Leopardus geoffroyi (Geoffroy's cat), 2845 nucleotides. RefSeq lists it as uncharacterized. The transcript is spliced from 5 exons. NCBI's taxonomy places the organism in Eukaryota, Metazoa, Chordata, Mammalia, Carnivora, Felidae. The record is from RefSeq and is a predicted model, not a curated record.
AGGCGAGUGAGCACGGGAAGCUCAGGGUCGGACUCACCAAGACAGACUUCGUCCCUCCCUGUGCGGCCAACGGGCGCUCAGGGAAUGUUCCAGAACAACUGCAGGUGCAGACCGUGACUCUCCAAAGAGCUCCUCCCCAGUUCCUGGGAAACGCCACAUCUGGAGAAUGCCUAUGCCCCUCUCCCAGCCUUCACCUACGCCUCGCUCGCCCCGCAGUGCUCUCUCUCUGGUCAGGGGCCCAGCUGGAGGCAGGGAGGGGGCUGAGCAGACACAGGGGGAUGGCGUGUGGGGUCCCGGCCGUGCCAGGAGGAGGGAACUGCGGGCAUGGCUGAGCCUGGGUGAGGAGGAAGGUUUCAGCAGCAUUGUCCCCAGCCCCGCCUGGAAGGCCUCCCCCCCCCCCCACCCCGCCACCCCCGGGUCCCAGAGCCUGGGAACCAUAACAACUCUCGGAGAGCUUCCUUUGGGUCCAAUCAUCCUCUCCGGUGCAAGCACGGGACACAUUUUUGCUUCCUUGUGAUUUAUCUGCGAUAACCACGCACCCUACACCUGAAAUCUAGCAACCCCCAUGGCCCGUUGUUCACAUGCGUCUCACAUGCCACCUCCCCCCGAUGUAAAAAUGUAAGAACGUUCUUGGUUAAUAAAAUACGCGUAAUCUAUAAUGAGAUGAAAAAAUAAGAGCCCUCGACGGGUCGUAACCAGGGAAAGGCGGGCGGUGGGGGAGGGGGGUGCAGGUAGUGAUGAUAGGAAGGAGUGAAGGCUUCGUUCCUGCAUCAGGAGCUCAGGAGGGUGUGUGAGGCCGCUGCCCCAGCAGUGUUUUCCGGAAUCGGAGGCCAGGAAGGCCAGGAAGGAGGCAUCGGAACCCAUAGAGGCCUCAUGUCUUUGGAUCUUGCUGUCUAUCCCUGCUUCCUGCUGCCCUAGCCCCUUCUGCCGCGCUCCCCCAGGCCUCAUCACAUCACUGGUGCCCAGAGGAUUGCCCGGCCCCCAGGAGAGUUAGCCGUGGGGAGUAGAAAACGGUGCGCCCAGAACUCCUCAGUGGGCCCGCGAGAUAGGGAGCGACAGGCGUGGGCCCCGGGGUGUGUCGCCGGGACAGAGAAGCGGCCCGGGAGACGUGACAGAGGCCCUGCCUUGGACGUCACAGGCGGCCUGUGAACAUCAGGGUCUAACCCACCAGGCAGGGUGGAAGACUCUAGAAGGGCUGGGGAAAAGCGUUUUUGCAAACUACCUUCCAGCGCCUCAUUUUUGGAUACAGGCGUAGAGUUCAGAUACGUAAAAAAAAUAAACAAAACUCAUCGUCAUCAUCAUCACCCUCGAGUAAAAAUAGAAGUAAACCUAAAACUACAACUUGUAAAUGGGGCAAAACGUCAUUUGAAGAGUUGCUCUUAGGUCAAGUCUGAAAAUACCGUAUUAGUCACCGAAAUCUGGCUUUGAGCUUAAAAUGUCGGAGCGCGGGAUGCUGGGAACACUACCAGUGCAGCAUAAAUAGUGUCGAUCGGGGAGUCGGGUCUGUGAUCCACGGGCUGCCUAGUGAUUGGUGUCUAACUAGUAUCAUGGGGAUCACAGCACAUACUCCACAACUGCCAUCCCAACUGCGUCUUUAUUCUCCCGGACUCACUGCCAGACAUCUCUUUUGUGUCCUCGCGCAGCCCAGGACGUCAGGGGUUUGAUGCUGUUUGGAUGCUUCGGUGCUUUGUGGAUAUCCUCAUUGAGGCUCAAACUGUCCGGUUUGGAUCGGGAGCUCCUAUAUCGCACGGAGCCCUAACCAAACGUUGAAACCCAAUUUGUAAAGGAGGGGCGUUGGGUCACUUAAGGAAGCAAAGGCUUUUAUCUCGGCGGAGCCAAGUGAAAAACAGCCACGCAGGGACCCAGUGCAUUUCGGAUCUGGUGCAAGCAGGAAACACGGGGCUUCUGGAACCUGGCAACUCGGGAGCUGGAAGUUACUCUGCUUCUACUUUCCUGCUUCACAGCCAGAGAAGGCUCCGGAAAGAAGCGUGUGUGUUUGGAGAGGGGCGUGCAUGCUUCACCUUCAGCCUCUAGCAACCACCACAUCCACGAUUCUGACUAUUUUAGACACCCCGUAGAAGGAGAAUCGUGGAUUAUUCAUCCCCCUACGAGUGGCUUCUCUCACCCAGCAUAAUGUCCCCAAGCUUCACCCAUGUCGCCGCACAAGGCAGGACAUCCUUCUCUGUAAGGUUGAGUAAUAUUCCACUGCAUGUAUAUGCCGCAUUUUCUCUAUACGUCUACAAAAGUGCCCCAAAUUCCAGUUAUACAAGAUGUCAAGUUCCAAACAUCUGCUUUCCAACAUUCUACCUGUAGAUAGAAUGAUGUAUGAUACACUGAAAAAUCUGGCAGGGGGGGUAGAAGGCGUGUGAAGUGUUCUAACCACAAUAAUAAUAAUGAUAAACCUUAGAUUGUCUUAUUUUUCGCUUUUCACUCCUUCCCCUGUGCGAUUACACAUUCUCGUCCUCGCCAUGUGACUGACAGUGUGCCCUGCAGGUGUUCCCCCCCCCCAACCCCUCCCCAGGAGGCUCGGCCACCGAAGAGUGAGCGGAGGGACAUCUGCCUCAGCCACACGGAGGGGUAGAGUGGUUGGGCCGAGCCCCUGACUCCCCCUGCUCAGCCACCGGAAGGUGCAUCCCGGGCCACCCCGGGCACUGUGGCGAGCCAGCAGGAAGACGCAGAGAACACGGCCAGAGCCCAGGCACACAGCAGCCACGUGUCACAGGGGCAAGCGGUCCGUGCUCGCUGUUUGAAGCCACCGGGCCGCGGGGGCUGUUGGCCAAGAAGCACAAAAGCGAAUUAGUACAUACGGUACAGGGUGGCUUUCUAAAUAAAAUUUGGAAAAGUA